AUGGUUCUAAGGAACAAUGAGGGAGCAAUCCUAUUUGGAGCUUAUCGUUUUAUUUUCCACUGCAAUGACUCGUUGGAGGCGGAACUGCAUGUGUUAAUGCAAGGAAUGGCGUUGGCCAUACAACAUUCGGACCUCCCGGUGGUGGUGCAGUCGGAUUCCUCUGAAGCUUUAUCAAGCAUGUCUAAUAGUGCGCUUUGUAGGUCAGCUUAUGGCCACUUAGUCUUGGAAAUCAAGGACUUGUUAGGUACUAGGGAGUUUUUUCCUCUGGAAAUUAGCUGUUCUUAAAAUAGAGUUGCCGAUCGGCUGGCCAGUUAUAGCCGCACUGAGCGAACUACUGCUGUGUGGUUGGGCUUAGUAGCACCGUGUAUUGAGGAUUUAUGGCCUCAAGACUGUAACUCUAUAAUCUUGCAAUAA
RNAcentral lists this ribosomal RNA (414 nucleotides) under Triticum aestivum (bread wheat). RNAcentral's name for it is "partial small subunit ribosomal RNA". Lineage: Eukaryota; Viridiplantae; Streptophyta; Magnoliopsida; Poales; Poaceae. The record is from RNAcentral.